Molecule: long non-coding RNA, 168 nt
Organism: Oxyura jamaicensis (ruddy duck)
Lineage: Eukaryota; Metazoa; Chordata; Aves; Anseriformes; Anatidae
Exons: 3
Source: RefSeq, a predicted model, not a curated record
AGCUGCACGGCCUGCACUUGCUUGAAAAGGGUAAUUAUUGCACUGCUACAGCUGACAAGGUAGCUUCAUUAAACAGGUGCAAAACUAAAACCUAAGAACUCUGUAAAAUCCAAUAAAUAGCUGUAUCACUAGAACACCUAACACCAGAGAUCAGCCACAGCAUAGAAA